Molecule: small nuclear RNA, 146 nt
Filed under: Suricata suricatta (meerkat)
Lineage: Eukaryota; Metazoa; Chordata; Mammalia; Carnivora; Herpestidae
Description: U1 spliceosomal RNA (ENSSSUG00005000722.1)
Rfam family: U1 spliceosomal RNA
About the family: U1 is a small nuclear RNA (snRNA) component of the spliceosome (involved in pre-mRNA splicing). Its 5' end forms complementary base pairs with the 5' splice junction, thus defining the 5' donor site of an intron.
Source: RNAcentral
ACACUCACUUAUACCGAUCAAAAUAGCUUAAAAGCAAAGCCCUUCAUUGCACUCCAGAAGUGCUGACCCCUGCGAUUUUCCCCAAAUGUGAGAAAAUUGACCACAUAAUUUGUGGUAAUGGGAGACUGUGUUCCCGCUUUCUCCUG